GACGAACGCUGGCGGCGUGCUUAACACAUGCAAGUCGUACGGUAAGGCCCUUUCGGGGGUACCCGAGUGGCGCACGGGUGAGUAACACGUGAGUAACCUGCCCACAACUUUGGGAUAACGCUAGGAAACUGGUGCUAAUACUGGAUAUGUGCUCCUGCUGCAUGGUGGGGGUUGGAAAGCUCCGGCGGUUGUGGAUGGACUCGCGGCCUAUCAGCUUGUUGGUGGGGUAGUGGCCUACCAAGGCGGCGACGGGUAGCCGGCCUGAGAGGGUGACCGGCCACAGUGGGACUGAGAUACGGCCCAGACCCCUACGGGAGGCAGCAGGGGGGAAUAUUGAAAAAUGGGCGCAAGCCUGAUGCAGCAACGCCGCGUGCGGGAUGACGGCCUUCGGGUUGUAAACCGCUUUCAGCAGGGACGAAGCUUUUUGUGACGGUACCUGCAGAAGAAGCACCGGCUAACUACGUG
This 465-nucleotide ribosomal RNA is filed under the name uncultured bacterium. RNAcentral's name for it is "partial 16S ribosomal RNA". It matches the Rfam family "Bacterial small subunit ribosomal RNA", at positions 28 to 507 of the family's 1533-position model. The record is from RNAcentral.